Populus trichocarpa (black cottonwood) is the source of this 3124-nucleotide RNA transcript. It is a transcript of the gene named beta-hexosaminidase 2, with no coding region annotated. The transcript has 9 exons. The record is from RefSeq and is a predicted model, not a curated record. Lineage: Eukaryota; Viridiplantae; Streptophyta; Magnoliopsida; Malpighiales; Salicaceae.
CCGCUUGCUAAGCUCCACCUACAAGCAAACAAAAACUACUGGUUGGAAAACAAGUCAAACAAAAACUACUUCUUUCGCUAUAUAUACAUGUACCUGUAGCUUGCUCUUCCAUGGAUUUGACUAUUUCCUUAACCAAUCCAAUUUAGCAAGCAUGACGAGUAACUUGGUAAUAAGCAGCCGCUGUUCCUUAUUCUUAACGUUGUUUUACUUGCUGGUUAGUGCCUCCCUUACAGCAACAUCAGCUCAAUGGGUAUGGCCGAAGCCAAGAACCCUGUCUUGGCCGAUCCCACUCGCCACUAUUCUCUCCCCAAACUUCACUAUCUCCUCCCCCUACCACCAACAUCUCUCCCCAGCCGUUAACCGUUACCGCCUCCAAAUCCUCACGGAACACCACCUCCCUCUCGUUCCUCCCCCAUUCAACCUCUCCAACUCAUCCCCUCCUUUGCAGGCCCUGACCAUCACUGUCAAAGACCUCGCCGCCCCACUCCAACACUCCGUUGACGAGUCCUACGCCCUUGCCAUCCCCACUGCUAGCUCCACCGCCAAUCUGACGGCCGAGACUGUAUGGGGCGCAAUGAGGGGUCUGGAGACGUUUUCUCAACUGGUUUGGGGAUUGAAACCAUUGCUUGUCCCUGUUGGGCUCGACGUGUGGGACUCGCCUCUGUUUGAGCAUAGAGGGAUCAUUUUGGAUACCUCUAGGAAUUACUACCCAGUGGAUGACAUUUUGAGGACCAUCAAAGCCAUGAGUGCUAAUAAGCUCAACGUUUUCCAUUGGCACAUUACCGAUUCUCACUCUUUUCCUUUAGUGCUUCCAUCUGAGCCUGCUCUUGCUGACAAAGGGUCUUAUGGGAAUGACAUGCUCUACUCUCCAGCUGAUGUUGCAACAAUUGUUCGGUUUGGUUUGGAGCAUGGCGUCAGGGUACUACCGGAAAUUGAUUCUCCAGCACAUACAGGAUCGUGGGCUGAAGCCUAUCCAGAUAUCGUGACUUGCGCAAACAUGUUCUGGUGGCCGGCUGAAAGCAAAUGGGCUGACCGGCUUGCAUCAGAACCAGGAACUGGCCAGCUAAAUCCUUUGAACCCAAAUACCUACCAAGUUCUAAAAAAUGUGAUUGGUGAUGCAGUUGCCUUGUUUCCUGAACCGUUUUUCCAUGCUGGAGGUGAUGAGAUCAUCCCAGGCUGUUGGAAAGCUGACCCGGCCAUUCAGUCCUUCCUAUCCAAAAAUGGAACUCUCAGUCAACUCCUUGAGAAAUUUGUGAACUCAACCUUCCCUUACAUUGUGUCCCUCAAUCGCACGGUGGUUUACUGGGAAGAUAUUUUGUUGGAUGCCAAUGUCAAGGUGGACCCUUCAUUUCUUCCACCUGAGCAUACCAUCCUACAGACAUGGAAUAACGGUCCCAACAACACGAAACUGAUUGUUUCUUCUGGUUACAGAGCUAUUGUCUCAUCCUCAGAGUUUUAUUAUUUGGAUUGUGGACAUGGUGGUUUUCUUGGGAAUGACAGCCAAUAUGAUCCACCACCAACAAGUGGUGGCAGUGGCAAUGGUGGAUCAUGGUGUGCACCUUUCAAAACAUGGCAAACCAUAUAUAACUAUGACAUAGCAUAUGGAUUGACUCCGGAGGAGACCAAAUUGGUGCUAGGGGGUGAAGUAGCAUUAUGGUCAGAGCAAGCAGAUCCAACAGUUUUGGACGUGCGGAUUUGGCCAAGAGCUUCAGCAAUGGCUGAGACUUUAUGGUCAGGGAACAGAGAUGAGUCAGGCAAGAAGAGGUAUGCAGAGGCAAUGGAUCGUUUAAAUGAGUGGAGACAUAGAAUGGUCAACAAAGGAAUCAGAGCUGAACCACUGCAGCCUCUCUGGUGCAUCAAGAACCCUGGCAUGUGCAACACAGUUCAUCCAAGUGAUUAGAUAAUUGUGUUAAUUGUCAGUAAGAUGCUUCAGAAUUGCUUUCCUGUUCUCUGUUUGGUGUCUUGAGGUUAUAUGCUUAGAAGCAUCAAAGCAACAGCAAAAAUUCAAUCCAGAGAAAAAAAAGAAAGGAAAAGAGAUAAAGAAACAAAGUACAGAAGGAAACUUCCUAAGCAGAAACUUCAACAUUCGUAGAUGAAGUUUUGUUGGCCUUGUUUCAUUAGAAGCUGUAGAAUAAGUAGAGUUUCUCUGUUUGCUACCAAAGCUAUCCAUUAACUGUUGUCUUUGCUACCUUGUUCACUUUAGUAAAAGGUAUUGGAUCCCAGCCUCGCUUUUGGUUUUUCGUUUUUUGUUCCUACUGGUGUAUUGACCAUAUUGACAAUAUGGUAAUUGUGAACUUAAUUUGAAAAAAGAAUUCAAUAAAGAAGGUUCAAGAAUCAAUGGACAUAAAAGUAUACAUGCAAGGCCCAGCUAGGAAGAAAUUUAAAGCAGUGUCAAUUGUUGCUGUUUUUAAUAGAAUUCAUCCUCAUGCAUUGUUUGCAGUCAACAGAACAUCACUAUAAUGAACAUACACUGUUUCCUGUCCACAAGGUGUAAGGUGGAGGUGGUCUUUCUUAUGGUCUUGGUUCUUCAGAACAAGGUUCACUAUAAAAUUGAAACAAGUGUAAAGGGAAAUGCUCCAAGUUAGUCUUAUCUCACCUUCUCCAGCGCCAUGAUCUCUCCAAGUGUAGUAGCGGCAGCAAUGGCUGCUCUCAUGAUGUUUCUUUUACUCACUCCACCUUCUGAGGCUGCAAUUUCUUGCAGUGAUGUAAUCAAGGACCUGAGGCCUUGUGUGAGCUACCUCAUGAAUGGCACUGGGAAACCACCUGCUGCAUGCUGUUCAGGAAUCUCAGCUAUUCAAGCUUCUGCAUCAACCACGGCUGAUAAGCAGGCAGCUUGUAACUGCAUCAAGUCAGCUUCCAAGCAAAUAAAUCCAAGCCCCCAGUUAGCACAGGCUCUUCCAGCUAACUGUGGAAUCACCUUGCCUUUCACUGUUUCACCCAAUGUUGAUUGUUCCAAGAUUACUUAGUUGAAAUGGAAAUGGUCUGGUGAAUGCUUUUCGAUCCUAUAUAUUUCAAGUGAAAUAGAAUAGUUGAACCUCAUUUCAUUCAUGUCUGCCUGUGUGUAUGGGAAGCUAAGGAAAAAUCGCAAAACAAAUAAUUUAUUGUGAAUGUGUUAAUUCUAUUA